Molecule: ribosomal RNA, 208 nt
Filed under: uncultured fungus
Lineage: Eukaryota; Fungi
Description: partial 18S ribosomal RNA
Rfam family: Eukaryotic small subunit ribosomal RNA
Source: RNAcentral
GACUGGUUUUACUGAUUCCUCCCUCUUGAAGAACUGUAAUGCCAUUAAUUUGGUGUUGCAGGGAAUCAGGACUGUUACUUUGAAAAAAUUAGAGUGUUUAAAGCAGGCUUUAGCUUGAAUACAUUAGCAUGGAAUAAUGAAAUAGGACGUUUGAUCCUAUUUUGUUGGUUUCUAGGAUUGACGUAAUGAUUAAUAGGGAUAGUUGGGA